CGAUAAACACCAUCUUUCGGUGAUUCCCAGUCAUGCGUAAGUGUCUGGUCUUCUUUGAUGUCUGUAAACAUCAUCUUUCGAUGUUCGUAGCGUCGUCCCUCCCCUAGUGAAGUUUCCUCCUCUCCGUUGGUGUCGAUAAACGUCGUGUUUUUCCUAGUCAUCCGGUGAUGUCUAGUUGUGCCAUUCCCCAUGUGGACUUACCUCUCCGUUGGUUUCGAUAAACGACGAGUUUUUCCCAUUCGUCCGUUGACGUCUGGUUGUGUUUCU
RNAcentral lists this long non-coding RNA (267 nucleotides) under Lathyrus oleraceus (garden pea). RNAcentral's name for it is "Pisum sativum (pea) long non-coding RNA (PSAT_LNC026823)". The record is from RNAcentral. Lineage: Eukaryota; Viridiplantae; Streptophyta; Magnoliopsida; Fabales; Fabaceae.